RNAcentral lists this ribosomal RNA (114 nucleotides) under Jaculus jaculus (lesser Egyptian jerboa). The record is from RNAcentral. Lineage: Eukaryota; Metazoa; Chordata; Mammalia; Rodentia; Dipodidae.
GUCUACAGCCAUACCAAUUGAGCACACCAGAUCUCAUUUGAUCUUGGAAGCUAAGCAGUGUCCGGCCUGGUUAGUGCUUGGAUGGGAGAGGCCAAGGGAAAAAUGCUGUUAGCC